AUCCAGCUGACGAGUUCCGAAAUAGUACAAAACGCGCGUCCUGGAC
Molecule: non-coding RNA, 46 nt
Filed under: Schistosoma mansoni
Lineage: Eukaryota; Metazoa; Platyhelminthes; Trematoda; Strigeidida; Schistosomatidae
Source: RNAcentral